AUGAACGCUGGCGGCGUGCCUAACACAUGCAAGUCGAACGGAAGCUUAACGCUGACGAGACUUCGGUCAAAUCUUGUUAAGCUUUAGUGGCGGACGGGUGAGUAACGCGUGGGCAACCUGCCUCAUACUGGGGGAUAACAGUUGGAAACGACUGUUAAUACCGCAUAAGCGCACAGAGUCGCAUGACUCAGUGUGAAAAACUCCGGUGGUAUGAGAUGGGCCCGCGUCAGAUUAGCCAGUUGGCGGGGUAACGGCCCACCAAAGCGACGAUCUGUAGCCGGACUGAGAGGUCGGACGGCCACAUUGGGACUGAGACACGGCCCAAACUCCUACGGGAGGCAGCAGUGGGGGAUAUUGCACAAUGGAGGAAACUCUGAUGCAGCGACGCCGCGUGAAGUGAAGAAGUAUUUCGGUAUGUAAAGCUCUAUCAGCAGGGAAGAAAGGCUCGCAAGAGAGAUGACGGUACCUGACUAAGAAGCCCCGGCUAACUACGUGCCAGCAGCGGC
This 506-nucleotide ribosomal RNA is filed under the name uncultured bacterium. Its description in RNAcentral is "bacterial SSU rRNA". It matches the Rfam family "Bacterial small subunit ribosomal RNA", at positions 29 to 518 of the family's 1533-position model. The record is from RNAcentral.